UCCCUGAUAGUUCAGUUGGUAAAGAAUCUGCCUGCAAUGCAGGAGACCCUGGUUCAAUUCCUGGGUGGGGAA
RNAcentral lists this transfer RNA (72 nucleotides) under Bos taurus (domestic cattle). It matches the Rfam family "tRNA". Rfam says of the family: Transfer RNA (tRNA) molecules are approximately 80 nucleotides in length. Their secondary structure includes four short double-helical elements and three loops (D, anti-codon, and T loops). Lineage: Eukaryota; Metazoa; Chordata; Mammalia; Artiodactyla; Bovidae. RNAcentral also lists the same sequence under 2 other names. The record is from Rfam by way of RNAcentral.